This 274-nucleotide ribosomal RNA is filed under the name uncultured bacterium. Its description in RNAcentral is "partial 16S ribosomal RNA". It matches the Rfam family "Bacterial small subunit ribosomal RNA", at positions 523 to 796 of the family's 1533-position model. The record is from RNAcentral.
AUACGGAGGGUGCAAGCGUUACUCGGAAUUACUGGGCGUAAAGGACGCGUAGGCGGUUUAGAAAGUCAGAUGUGAAAGCCUAUGGCUUAACCAUAGAACUGCAUCUGAAACCCCUAGACUAGAGUGAGGGAGAGGUCAGUGGAAUUAGUGGUGUAGGGGUAAAAUCCGUAGAGAUCACUAGGAAUACUCAUAGCGAAGGCGACUGACUGGAACUUUACUGACGCUGAGGCGUGAAAGCGUGGGGAGCAAACAGGAUUAGAAACCCGAGUAGUCC